Molecule: ribosomal RNA, 253 nt
Filed under: uncultured bacterium
Lineage: Bacteria
Description: partial 16S ribosomal RNA
Rfam family: Bacterial small subunit ribosomal RNA
Source: RNAcentral
UACGGAGGGAGCUAGCGUUGUUCGGAAUUACUGGGCGUAAAGCGCACGUAGGCGGCUUUGUAAGUUAGAGGUGAAAGCCCGGAGCUCAACUCCGGAACUGCCUUUAAGACUGCAUCGCUAGAAUUGUGGAGAGGUGAGUGGAAUUCCGAGUGUAGAGGUGAAAUUCGUAGAUAUUCGGAAGAACACCAGUGGCGAAGGCGACUCACUGGACACAUAUUGACGCUGAGGUGCGAAAGCGUGGGGAGCAAACGGG